RNAcentral lists this ribosomal RNA (443 nucleotides) under uncultured bacterium. Its description in RNAcentral is "partial 16S ribosomal RNA". It matches the Rfam family "Bacterial small subunit ribosomal RNA", at positions 338 to 795 of the family's 1533-position model. The record is from RNAcentral.
CCUACGGGGGACAGCAGUGGGGAAUAUUGGGCAAUGGGCGCAAGCCUGACCCAGCAACGCCGCGUGAAGGAAGAAGGCUUUCGGGUUGUAAACUUCUUUUAUCAGGGACGAAGCAAGUGACGGUACCUGAUGAAUAAGCCACGGCUAACUACGUGCCAGCAGCCGCGGAAAUACGUAGGUGGAAAGCGUUAUCCGGAUUUACUGGGUGUAAAGGGCGUGUAGGCGGUAGGGCAAGUCAGAUGUGAAAACUAUGGGCUUAACCCAUAGCCUGCAUUUGAAACUGUCAAACUAGAGUACGGGAGAGGUAAGAGGAAUUCCUAGUGUAGCGGUGAAAUGCGUAGAUAUGAGGAGGAACACCAGUGGCGAAGGCGUCUCACUGGACCGAAACUGACGUUGAGGCUCGAAAGCGUGGGGAGCAAACAGGAUUAGAUACCCCAGUAGUC